GUUAAUCGGAAUUACUGGGCGUAAAGCGCACGCAGGCGGUCUGUCAAGUCGGAUGUGAAAUCCCCGGGCUUAACCUGGGAACUGCAUUCGAAACUGGCAGGCUAGAGUCUUGUAGAGGGGGGUAGAAUUCCAGGUGUAGCGGUGAAAUGCGUAGAGAUCUGGAGGAAUACCGGUGGCGAAGGCGGCCCCCUGGACAAAGACUGACGCUCAGGUGCGAAAGCGUGGGGAGCAAACAGGAUUAGAUACCCUGGUAGUCCACGCCGUAAACGAUGUCGACUUGGAGGUUGUUCCCUUGAGGAGUGGCUUCCGGAGCUAACGCGUUAAGUCGACCGCCUGGGGAGUACGGCCGCAA
This 352-nucleotide ribosomal RNA is filed under the name Enterobacterales bacterium. Its description in RNAcentral is "bacterial SSU rRNA". It matches the Rfam family "Bacterial small subunit ribosomal RNA", at positions 540 to 891 of the family's 1533-position model. The record is from RNAcentral. Lineage: Bacteria; Pseudomonadati; Pseudomonadota; Gammaproteobacteria; Enterobacterales.